GAUGAACGCUGGCGGCGUGCCUAAUACAUGCAAGUCGAGCGAACGGACGAGAAGCUUGCUUCUCUGAUGUUAGCGGCGGACGGGUGAGUAACACGUGGAUAACCUACCUAUAAGACUGGGAUAACUUCGGGAAACCGGAGCUAAUACCGGAUAAUAUUUUGAACCGCAUGGUUCAAAAGUGAAAGACGGUCCUGCUGUCACUUAUAGAUGGAUCCGCGCUGCAUUAGCUAGUUGGUAAGGUAACGGCUUACCAAGGCAACGAUGCAUAGCCGACCUGAGAGGGUGAUCGGCCACACUGGAACUGAGACACGGUCCAGACUCCUACGGGAGGCAGCAGUAGGGAAUCUUCCGCAAUGGGCGAAAGCCUGACGGAGCAACGCCGCGUGAGUGAUGAAGGUCUUCGGAUCGUAAAACUCUGUUAUUAGGGAAGAACAUAUGUGUAAGUAACUGUGCACAUCUUGACGGUACCUAAUCAGAAGGCCACGGCUAACUACGUG
RNAcentral lists this ribosomal RNA (497 nucleotides) under uncultured bacterium. RNAcentral describes it as "partial 16S ribosomal RNA". It matches the Rfam family "Bacterial small subunit ribosomal RNA", at positions 28 to 507 of the family's 1533-position model. The record is from RNAcentral.